UACAAACUCAGUUCGCUGGCUGUAACUCAAGUUGGUCAAUUGAAGGGUCAGCCUCCUCUACACAGCCCUCAAAGUCUCUCUCCUGUACACUGGCAGAUCUCAGUGUCCUUAGAGAGACAUUGGCCCAGGAUUUCUCAGUGAACCCCACACAGAAAAGGAUGUUGUCAUAUUCCCUCCAGCACUCUUUAAGGGUUAAAUUUGUAUCUGAGACCAUCUGGAAGAACAAGUGGCAGGCAUUUGGAUGGUAACUCAAGACUUUGGUUAUAAGUUAAAACUAAAAUUCCGGUCAUAACCCAAGUCGUUCAUAUGUUAGUCCAGUCUAACUCGAGAGUCCACUGUAUGUGGAGUCAAUGCAUCUCACAGUUCCCACGGGACAGUGCUGAGCAGGUAAACUGUAGAAUUACUCUACAGAAUGUCAAGACACACACCAUUGCCUUCUUAUCUAAAAACAAAGAGGUAAUAAUAGCCCUCGAGUUGGACAGUCAGUUCAGGAAUCCCAGGCACUUGCAUUCUGGACGCCAUUAGAAGCUGAAGCCCAAAGAAGUGCAGUGUACAGCCCACGUCCUGAGUGGGAGAGGAGCCGCGUGCUGCUUCUUCCCUGCCUCGUGGAUGAGCAGGCGAUCCAGGCAGACCCCAGCACAAGCCCCAUCUGAAAAACACAAAGAUGCCAACUUUCAUUAUCUUCAUUCAUCUUCUUUAUUUUCUCAAUAAUGUUGUAGGAUUGCUUCAGUUAGGCCAGGCACAUUUCUUGUUAAGGCUACUCAUAUAUAUUUUAUGCCCUUUUGUACUUCGUGAAUGGAGUGUUUCUUUCUUUCCAUCAUGUUUUCUCACCGGUUAUUUGGGGAUGUAGUGAAAGCUGAG
RNAcentral lists this long non-coding RNA (861 nucleotides) under Heterocephalus glaber (naked mole-rat). RNAcentral's name for it is "lncRNA (ENSHGLG00100041803.1)". Lineage: Eukaryota; Metazoa; Chordata; Mammalia; Rodentia; Bathyergidae. The record is from RNAcentral.